This 274-nucleotide ribosomal RNA is filed under the name uncultured bacterium. RNAcentral's name for it is "partial 16S ribosomal RNA". It matches the Rfam family "Bacterial small subunit ribosomal RNA", at positions 523 to 796 of the family's 1533-position model. The record is from RNAcentral.
ACACGUAAGGGGCAAGCGUUGUUCGGAAUUAUUGGGCGUAAAGGGCGCGUAGGCGGUUUUACAAGUCUGGUGUGAAAGAUCUCAGCUUAACUGAGGGACCGCGCUGGAAACUGUAAGACUAGAAUCUAGGAGGGGAAGCUGGAAUUCCUGGUGUAGGGGUGAAACCCGUAGAUAUCAGGAAGAACACCGGUGGCGAAGGCGAGCUUCUGGCCAUAGAUUGACGCUGAGGCGCGAAAGCGUGGGGAGCGAACAGGAUUAGAAACCCCGGUAGUCC